CUGAUUUUGACUCGAUACUGACUCCCGGUUUUGACCCUUUUCCGCUUUUGACCUACGGCUUCGGACUCUCCUCUGAUUGGUAGCUCUGCUACUGAAAAAAAGCCCGAUCCAUUCAUGGAAAUGGGAGCGAUCGGUGCUUUAUCACUGUGUGUGGAAACACCUAGAGCCGUGUUUGGUGUGCCCCUCAUUAGUCUGAGGAAGAGUGGACAGAUGAGGCAGGGUCUUCCUCUGGCGCUCACACACAUGGUGGAGUUUGUGGAGAAGCACGGUCUCAGCAAGAUCGGCCUGUUCAUAGUCGGCGGAUCAGUACAACGCUGCAGGGACCUAA
This is a long non-coding RNA of Puntigrus tetrazona (Sumatra barb), 328 nucleotides long. RefSeq lists it as uncharacterized. The record is from RefSeq and is a predicted model, not a curated record. The transcript has 3 exons. NCBI's taxonomy places the organism in Eukaryota, Metazoa, Chordata, Actinopteri, Cypriniformes, Cyprinidae.